Oncorhynchus tshawytscha (Chinook salmon) is the source of this 1047-nucleotide long non-coding RNA. The record is from Ensembl. Lineage: Eukaryota; Metazoa; Chordata; Actinopteri; Salmoniformes; Salmonidae.
GAGAGAUGGAGGGAGGAGAGGAUGGAGAGAGGAGAGGAUGGAGGGAGGAGAGGAUGGAGAGAGGAGAGGAUGGAGGGAGGAGAGGAUGGAGAGAGGAGAGGAUGGAGAGAGGAGAGGAUGGAGGGAGGAGAGGAUGGAGAGAGGAGAGGAUGGAGAGAGGAGAGGAUGGAGGGAGGAGAGGAUGGAGGGGAGGAUGGAGGGAGGAGAGGAUGGAGGGAGGAGAGGAUGGAGAGAGGAGAGGAUGGAGGGAGGAGAGGAUGGAGAGAGGAGAGGAUGGAGGGGAGGAUGGAGGGAGGAGAGGAUGGAGAGACAAGAGAAAGAAGGGGGGUUGUUUCUCUCUCAUAUAUUGUUUUAAAUAUGCCAUUAGAACGAAAUGUUGUGUUUCCUUGUUUAAAUCCAUAAAGUUUGUAAUACAAAAAAAAAGAACAAACAAAUUAAAUAGUGUCGACGGGGCACCGGCGAAUCACAUCUCCAGCUUAGACCACGCCCCCCUCCCCCUAGUCUCCAAUCUCUCAGCCCAUUGGUUGUUCAAGUGGUCUUCCAAAGUUUUGUUUUCAAAACUCUGAUUGGUCUUUACAACAAAAAACACCGCAUGACUGUCAGUCUAAAGCCUCCCACCACUCCUGUGGUCCAGACAGGUUGUGGACAACCAACAGUCAAGUCCCACUUAAAAGAGAAAACAAAGCCCUGUGAGUUGAGACAGACGGUUCGACCAGCCCUGUGAGUUGAGACAGUUCACCCAGCCCUGUGAGUUGAGACAGUUCACCCCAGCCCUGUGAGUUGAGACAGUUCACCCCAGCCCUCCCUGUGAGUUGAGACAGUUCACCCCAGCCCUGUGAGUUGAGACAGACGGUUCACCCAGCCCUGUGAGUUGAGACAGACGGUUCGACCCAGCCCUGUGAGUUGAGACAGACGGUUCGACCCAGCCCUGUGAGUUGAGACAGACGGUUCGACCCAGCCCUGUGAGUUGAGACAGACGGUUCGACCCAGCCCUGUGAGUUGAGACAGACGGUUCGACCCAGCCCUGUGAGUUGAGACAGACGGUUC